CCUACGGGCGGCAGCAGUGAGGAAUAUUGGUCAAUGGGCGCGAGCCUGAACCAGCCAAGUCGCGUGAGGGAAGACGGUCCUAUGGAUUGGAAAACUCUUUUGUCGGGGAGCAAAAGAAGACACGCGUGGCGUUCCGAGAGUACCCGAAGAAAAAGCAUCGGAUAACUCCGUGCCAGCAGCCGCGGUAAUACGGAGGAUCCGAGCGUUAUCCGGAGUUGAUGGGUUUCAAGGGAGCGUAGGUGGAUUGUUAAGUCAGUUGUGAAAUUUUGCGGCUCCACCGUAAAAUUGCAGUUGACACUGGCAGUCUUGAGUACAGUAGAGGUGGGCGGAAUUCGUGUUGUAGCGG
This 346-nucleotide ribosomal RNA is filed under the name uncultured bacterium. Its description in RNAcentral is "partial 16S ribosomal RNA". It matches the Rfam family "Bacterial small subunit ribosomal RNA", at positions 338 to 681 of the family's 1533-position model. The record is from RNAcentral.